GAUGAACGCUGGCGGCGUGCCUAAUACAUGCAAGUCGAACGAAACUUCUUUAUCACCGAGUGCUUGCACUCACCGAUAAAGAGUUGAGUGGCGAACGGGUGAGUAACACGUGGGCAGCCUGCCCAAAAGAGGGGGAUAACACUUGGAAACAGGUGCUAAUACCGCAUAACCAUAGUUACCGCAUGGUAACUAUGUAAAAGGUGGCUAUACUACCGCUUUUGGAUGGGCCCGCGGCGCAUUAGCUAGUUGGUAGGGUAAAGGCUUACCAAGGCAAUGAUGCGUAGCCGAAUUGAGAGGUUGAUCGGCCACAUUGGGACUGAGACACGGCCCAAACUCCUACGGGAGGCAGCAGUAGGGAAUCUUCCACAAUGGGCGAAAGCCUGAUGGAGCAACGCCGCGUGGGUGAAGAAGGUCUUCGGAUCGUAAAACCCUGUUGUUAGAGAAGAAAGUGCGUGAGAGUAACUGCUCACGUUUCGACGGUAUCUAACCAGAAAGCCACGGCUAACUACGUG
Molecule: ribosomal RNA, 512 nt
Filed under: uncultured bacterium
Lineage: Bacteria
Description: partial 16S ribosomal RNA
Rfam family: Bacterial small subunit ribosomal RNA
Source: RNAcentral